GGAAGCCUACGGGGGGCAGCAGUGAGGAAUAUUGGUCAAUGGGCGAGAGCCUGAACCAGCCAAGUCGCGUGAGGGAGUACUGCCCUAUGGGUUGUAAACCUCUUUUGUCAGGGAGCAAAGGGCGCCACGUGUGGCGUUUUGCGAGUACCUGAAGAAAAAGCAUCGGCUAACUCCGUGCCAGCAGCCGCGGUAAUACGGAGGAUGCGAGCGUUAUCCGGAUUUAUUGGGUUUAAAGGGUGCGCAGGCGGAAUGUCAAGUCAGCGGU
This 265-nucleotide ribosomal RNA is filed under the name uncultured bacterium. RNAcentral describes it as "partial 16S ribosomal RNA". It matches the Rfam family "Bacterial small subunit ribosomal RNA", at positions 333 to 595 of the family's 1533-position model. The record is from RNAcentral.